UUCAGACCGGAGCUAUCAACCACUCAGCCAUCUCUCC
RNAcentral lists this transfer RNA (37 nucleotides) under Piresia sp. 'morpho F' ILCO-2017. Its description in RNAcentral is "partial tRNA-Ser". The record is from RNAcentral. Lineage: Eukaryota; Viridiplantae; Streptophyta; Magnoliopsida; Poales; Poaceae. RNAcentral also lists the same sequence under 1 other name.